RNAcentral lists this long non-coding RNA (2749 nucleotides) under Cavia porcellus (domestic guinea pig). Its description in RNAcentral is "lncRNA (ENSCPOG00000032529.1)". Lineage: Eukaryota; Metazoa; Chordata; Mammalia; Rodentia; Caviidae. The record is from RNAcentral.
CGGCAAGGUAGGGCGCGGCCCGACGGCUGGGCGGACUUGCGCGCUGUCCCGCGGGGACGGCGACCUGGGAGGCGGGGAGCCCGAGCCUGGCUGGGUUCCCGGGACGCGCCGCCCAGGGUCCCCGGUAGCGGACGGGGCUUGGGGUCCCCCAGGGCCGGCGAUCCGCGAGCCCCGGCUGCGCUCCGUAGGCGUCUGCGCUUCCGCUGAGAGCCUGGCGCUCGACUUCGGGUGCUCAGCCUUCGGAAGCGGGGCGCCCGAGGACGAGGGAGGGGAGCAGGGCGGAGGAGCCGCCUGCCCCGGGGUCAGGGCCCAGGGAAACUCGCCCGCCUGCGCCUUGGCCUCUGCGGCCGCCAGGUAUGGCACAGAUGCCCACGUCCGGGCCAAAGGCCGAGGGCCGCAGCGCACCGUCCCGUUCACGCCCCCAUCGCACUGGGGCCGCUCAGUCGCUCGCUUCUCCUCCUCUGGAAACACCGGCUGCCUGCAGCUGGGAGCCGCCGAGGCAAAGCGAGUCCACCACUGCCACAAGGUGGGACUUGCAGGCCCGGUCUCCCCAGACUCGCUGUCUCUCCAUGGUCCCAGCCAGGCCCCAAGAAGCCAUCCUUUGCUCCUUGGCUGCUCAGGGCUGGCGUUUGGAGGGGUGCAGGCCUCCCCUGUACCAGGCUGUGGGCACAGCGGGCAUCCCUGGGGAGCCGCGUGGCCCGUGGCCAGGCGUGGGGCUGUGAGUGGACAAGGCCACCAGAUCGUGGAUGCAGAAGGAUGAGAGAUGCCGCCCCACCGCCAUGCUGAAAAUAAAACCCAGGCACAAAGCAACAAAUACUGGGGAGAAUGUGGAGAGGUUCGAGGGCGGCAGGUGGGAAGACAAAACAGUGCAGCUGCUGCUGUGGAGCCGUGGCAAACAGUUCGGAGAUUCCUCAAAACGUGAACGUGGAAUUAUCCUAGGAUCCAGCAGUUCCACUCCUAGAACGUGGGCAAGGUCCUCACCAAGGGCUGCCGCUAUGUCGUCCUCGGCCUGCAGGGCUUCGCUGCCGCCUACUCUGCCCCCUUCGCAGUGGCCACCAGUGUGGUGUCCUUCGUGCGCUAGAGGACCCCACGCCUUCCGGACCGGAGCUCACGGGACACACAGAUGAGAAAGCUGUCUUCUUUGUCAGAGUGGAUGGAGUCAGGCCUGAGCCCCCCUGCUGCUUCCAGCUCCCGUGGCUCCCGGACACAGUGGCCCUGGGGUCAUCCUGUGGGACUCAGGCGCAGGUCCUAUUUGGCGCCAGGGGCAGUUUGCCCCCAGGACACUUAGAACCUUCAUGGGAGGUGGCAGGCAGGGGUGAGGGUGGAUUUGAGUAGCGUGGGCUGCAGAUGGUCAUUCCAAGGCAGGAAGGACUCUUGUUGGGGUCCUGAGUCCACCCAAUUGUCCCAUGCAGGUCACGGGCUUCCGGGGGCACCCCGGGCCUGGCUGCCUGAAUUCUACAGUUGUUCUCUCCCCACCUCUCCCUCCCAACUCUGUGGCCAGGGGUUUCAUCACAGGCUCGGGAGGAAGGAAGACAGGAGGGACAGAUGGACAAACUCCCUUUGAAGGCUGUGAAGCUUUGCAAAGCGCAUCCCCAGCUGGGCCACAGCUGUAAAGGAAGGGCUCACUGUCUGUCUCCCCACAAGAGUCUCCCCAUGACAUAAGCAGCUAGGGGAAGCACGAGCUCUGGUACCUGGGCACAGCUCCUCUGGGACGCUGCGCUCCUCCCGGUGUCUGGGAGCUGCAGGUGGGGGUGGUGGGAGGAGGGAGCUGGAAGCUGGGGGAGGUGCGGAUCAGAGAAGGAACCAGUAAGUAGCAGAGGGGCUGAGGAUGCAGAUGUAGAGAGGGCAGCAAGGACACCGGAGGAGAGCCGGGCAUCCAGGGCCUGGACAGAGUGUCCAGCCUCGGGGGUCCCAGGGCUGCUGGGCUUGCAGCUCUGGGGUGACCAGGGAGGUGGGCAGGGCGUCGUGCUGGGGAGCUGUGCUCUGCAGCCCACGGGAUCAAGUGGUUGGGCAUGGGGCCCCCACUGGGGCUCGGCGGCCCAGGCUCCUGGACUGGAAGGUUAGGGCGGAUGGGAUCCUGGCCCCUGCCUGGGCAGCCUGGCUGUGUUGGACGUCUAGGGGCUCACAGGGCAGCGGAGGGCGGAGAAGAUCUGACUGCAGCCCGGAGGCAGAUCCAGAGCCUGGACGCUCCUGCCUCCUCCACGCAGCCUGCAGGGCCUGGGAGGCAGGGAAGCUGACAGACAGAUGGACAGACUGAUGCAUGGACGGAUGGACAGGCCGAUGGAUGGACGGAUGGCUGGAAGGGAGAAAGCGGUGGCUGGACACAGGGUGGAGUAGGAGAAGCAAAGCUAGGUUAGGAGACCAGAAAGAUCAGAGCUGUAAAACUGUGCUUUUCAGGAAAACCUGCUUUAGGACACAAAAGUUACUGGAGCCUUUUUUCCUUUCAGUGAACUCAAAUGUCUUGCGGGGUCUUAGAAUACGCCGCUAAAUUGGGCUUUGGGGCCCGUGUGUUUCAAUCUGUCCACUACACAUUCUCCCCAAACUUCCACUCUCUGGGAGGCAGCAGUCACGGAGACUGUGUUCUCAUGAGUAUGUGACCAGCAGUGGGGCCCACACCCGAGACUGCUCCGACCCCAAGCCCUGUAAAGACCCCAGCUGCAGACCAUAGGGCCACCCGGGGGCUGUGCUCUGACUUUCUGUGUACACUUUAAAUUUUUGUCUAAUAAAUUCCUUUAUACCUCUUGCUAAU